This 232-nucleotide ribosomal RNA is filed under the name uncultured bacterium. RNAcentral describes it as "partial 16S ribosomal RNA". It matches the Rfam family "Bacterial small subunit ribosomal RNA", at positions 57 to 305 of the family's 1533-position model. The record is from RNAcentral.
GCAAGUCGAACGAAGGCUCCAGCUUGCUGGAUGUCCUUAGUGGCAGACGGGAUAGUAACGCGUGGGAAUUUGUCCAAUAGUAAGGAAUAACUGCGGGAAACUGGAGCUAAUACCUUAUACGCCCUCCGGGGGAAAGAUUUAUCGCUAUUGGAUAAGCCCGCGUCGAAUUAGCUUGUUGGUGAGGUAAUGGCUCACCAAGGCGACGAUUCGUAGCUGGUCUGAGAGGACGAUC